CAGAGAGGAGCUGCCACUUGGGCACUGAAACAAUGUCCAUUAGGCUUUGUUAUGGAAACUUCUCCUGAUCAUUGUUUUGUGUCCAUUGAGCUUCCAAU
Homo sapiens (human) is the source of this 98-nucleotide microRNA precursor. Ensembl annotates it as microRNA 635. Its record names the gene MIR635. NCBI's taxonomy places the organism in Eukaryota, Metazoa, Chordata, Mammalia, Primates, Hominidae. The record is from Ensembl.